UACAGAGGUCUCAAGCGUUGUUCGGAUUCAUUGGGCGUAAAGGGCGCGUAGGCGGCUGGGUAAGUCGGGUGUGAAAUCUCAGAGCUCAACUCUGAAAUGGCACUUGAUACUGCUCUGCUAGAGGACUGGAGAGGAGAUUGGAAUUCACGGUGUAGCAGUGAAAUGCGUAGAUAUCGUGAGGAAGACCAGUGGCGAAGGCGGAUCUCUGGACAGCUCCUGACGCUGAGGCGCGAAGGCUAGGGGAGCAAACGGG
This 253-nucleotide ribosomal RNA is filed under the name uncultured bacterium. RNAcentral describes it as "partial 16S ribosomal RNA". It matches the Rfam family "Bacterial small subunit ribosomal RNA", at positions 524 to 776 of the family's 1533-position model. The record is from RNAcentral.